Molecule: long non-coding RNA, 772 nt
Organism: Homo sapiens (human)
Lineage: Eukaryota; Metazoa; Chordata; Mammalia; Primates; Hominidae
Source: Ensembl
AGAUUUCCUGUCCUUGGGAAGCUGUCAUCAUCCUUCUAUCUUUACACCCCAUGAUUUACCCCUUGCAGUGUACUUAUUACACUGUAUUGGAAUCGCUUCUUUUCUCUUUCUCUGUGAAUUUCUUGAGAGCACAGACUACAUUCUGCUUAACUUUUUAUCCCCAGCUUUCAGCACAGUGCCUGGCUGCUUUGGCGUCUCCAAGUACCUGACCUCAGCUCAACCUGUCUUGGGUUUUCUUCUCCUCCCUGACAUUGACAACCCAGCCCUCCUAGGCACAGAGAGAUGGAGCUGAGUGUGGUUUUCCUGAAAUAAAGCUUGCAUUAUGAGAGGGAAUAAACAGAAGAAAAAAAUAUGUCUGAGGCGCAUGGCCCCGGGAGAGGAGGAGAAUGGGACGGUGGUUCAGAUCUGCUGAUGUAGCUGUGGUCAGUCACUGGGGAGAAUAGGCCUGUGGAUUUCUGCUCCUCUGAGAUGGAUCCAUCACUGACUACUGAACUUGUUUUCUCAUUGGCUCAACUUAAGAAGGUUCUAGAGAGGAGAAGCUGGACGGAGGGGCUGACCACGCGGUGCAAGGAACCUGUUGGUCAGCUCAUGUCAGUUAGCAUUACUUAAUAGGAGGCAGUUUGCCUCCGAUAUCUUUCUGUAUAGUUUACACAUCAUUGUUUGUUAAAGUUGAAUUUUUCAAAAUUGCUGUUAUGUCAUAUCCUCUAUGCACAAGAAUGGAUCGAUGAUUCAAAAGGGAUUAAAAUAAAAAUUGUUGAUGAAAAAAGCCAAA